UACGUAGGGACCAAGCGUUGUUCGGAUUUACUGGGCGUAAAGGGCGCGUAGGCGGCGCGGUAAGUCACUUGUGAAAUCUCUGAGCUUAACUCAGAACGGUCAAGUGAUACUGCAGUGCUAGAGUGUGGAAGGGGCAAUCGGAAUUCUUGGUGUAGCGGUGAAAUGCGUAGAUAUCAAGAGGAACACCUGAGGUGAAGACGGGUUGCUGGGCCAACACUGACGCUGAGGCGCGAAAGCCAGGGGAGCAAACGGG
This 253-nucleotide ribosomal RNA is filed under the name uncultured bacterium. Its description in RNAcentral is "partial 16S ribosomal RNA". It matches the Rfam family "Bacterial small subunit ribosomal RNA", at positions 524 to 776 of the family's 1533-position model. The record is from RNAcentral.